RNAcentral lists this transfer RNA (73 nucleotides) under bacterium. Its description in RNAcentral is "tRNA-Glu". It matches the Rfam family "tRNA". Rfam says of the family: Transfer RNA (tRNA) molecules are approximately 80 nucleotides in length. Their secondary structure includes four short double-helical elements and three loops (D, anti-codon, and T loops). The record is from RNAcentral.
GGCGCGUUCGUCUAGCGGUUAGGACGUCACCCUUUCAAGGUGAAGGCCACCGGUUCGAAUCCGGUACGCGCUA